RNAcentral lists this ribosomal RNA (253 nucleotides) under uncultured prokaryote. RNAcentral describes it as "partial 16S ribosomal RNA". It matches the Rfam family "Bacterial small subunit ribosomal RNA", at positions 525 to 777 of the family's 1533-position model. The record is from RNAcentral.
ACGUAGGACACGAGCGUUAUCCGGAGUUACUGGGCGUAAAGGGCGUGCAGGCGGCAUGGUAAGUCUGAUGUGAAAGCUCCCGGCUCAACCGGGAGAGGACAUUGGAGACUGCCAAGCUCGAGGCAGAUAGAGGGAUGUAGAAUUCCGGGUGUAGUGGUGAAAUGCGUAGAGAUCCGGAGGAAUACCAGAGGCGAAGGCGGCAUCCUGGGUCUGACCUGACGCUGAGACGCGACAGCAUGGGGAGCGAACGGGA